UACGAAGGGGGCUAGCGUUGCUCGGAAUCACUGGGCGUAAAGGGUGCGUAGGCGGGUUUUUAAGUCAGAGGUGAAAUCCUGGAGCUCAACUCCAGAACUGCCUUUGAUACUGGCGAUCUUGAGUCCGGGAGAGGUGAGUGGAACUCCGAGUGUAGAGGUGAAAUUCGUAGAUAUUCGGAAGAACACCAGUGGCGAAGGCGGCUCACUGGCCCGGUACUGACGCUGAGGUGCGAAAGCGUGGGGAGCAAACAGG
RNAcentral lists this ribosomal RNA (253 nucleotides) under uncultured bacterium. RNAcentral's name for it is "partial 16S ribosomal RNA". It matches the Rfam family "Bacterial small subunit ribosomal RNA", at positions 524 to 776 of the family's 1533-position model. The record is from RNAcentral.